RNAcentral lists this ribosomal RNA (746 nucleotides) under Piptocephalis fimbriata. Its description in RNAcentral is "eukaryotic LSU rRNA". It matches the Rfam family "Eukaryotic large subunit ribosomal RNA", at positions 56 to 608 of the family's 3401-position model. Lineage: Eukaryota; Fungi; Zoopagomycota; Zoopagomycetes; Zoopagales; Piptocephalidaceae. The record is from RNAcentral.
GAAAAGAAACCAACAGGAAUUCCCCUAGUAACGGCGAGUGAAGCGGGAAAAGCUCAAAUUUAAAAUCGUGUAGGGGAGACCCUGUCACGAAUUGUAGUUUGAUGAGGUGAACUUGGUGGCAGCCUGGGUCUAAAUCUCUUGGAAAAGGGUAUCAUAGAGGGUGACAAUCCCGUCUAUGGCUCAGUCUGCUGUCCACCGUGUAAGUCGCCUUCAAAGAGUCGGGUUGUUUGGGAAUGCAGCCCUAAGCGGGUGGUAAAUUCCAUCUAAAGCUAAAUAUUCGUGAGAGACCGAUAGCGAACAAGUACCGUGAGGGAAAGUUGAAAAGCACUCUGGAGAGAGAGUCAAACAGUACGUGAAAUUGUUAACAGGGAAACGUUAGGCACCAGUACGCGCCUCACGUAGAAUCAUCCAUCGACCAAGGGUUUGCCCGGGUGUAGUGAGUCUAACCAACCACUACCCUGGGCGUACCCGAGGGAGGCGGUGCUCUUUUGCGUGGGCGGGUCAACAUCAGUUAGGAUCGUUGUAAACGGCUUGAGGGAAGGUAGACAUGGACUUCGGUCCGUGUAACUUAUAGCCCUCAUGUCCUACGAUGGUCUUGACUGUGGAGUCGCAAUCCGUGCUUCCCUUGUGGAGGCAGGCCCCAUUGUUCAUCACUCUUCUCUCGGCCUUGGCAGCUUGCUGACUGGGUUGGGGUAAGGAGGGUGAUGGUGCGGCGUAAGGCUCUAACGGGUACGGACGUGCGAACC